AUUGAACGCUGGCGGCAUGCCUUACACAUGCAAGUCGAACGGUACAGGUCUUCGGAUGCUGCCGAGUGGCGAACGGGUGAGUAAUACAUCGGAACGUGCCCAGACGUGGGGGAUAACGAGGCGAAAGCUUUGCUAAUACCGCAUACGAUCUAAGGAUGAAAGCAGGGGACCGCAAGGCCUUGCGCGUUUGGAGCGGCCGAUGGCAGAUUAGGUAGUUGGUGGGAUAAAAGCUUACCAAGCCGACGAUCUGUAGCUGGUCUGAGAGGACGACCAGCCACACUGGGACUGAGACACGGCCCAGACUCCUACGGGAGGCAGCAGUGGGGAAUUUUGGACAAUGGGCGAAAGCCUGAUCCAGCAAUGCCGCGUGCAGGAUGAAGGCCUUCGGGUUGUAAACUGCUUUUGUACGGAACGAAAAGGCUCUGGCUAAUACCUGGGGCACAUGACGGUACCGUAAGAAUAAGCACCGGCUAACUACGUG
This 481-nucleotide ribosomal RNA is filed under the name uncultured bacterium. RNAcentral's name for it is "partial 16S ribosomal RNA". It matches the Rfam family "Bacterial small subunit ribosomal RNA", at positions 30 to 507 of the family's 1533-position model. The record is from RNAcentral.